ACGAAGGGGGCGAGCGUUGUUCGGAAUAACUGGGCGUAAAGGGCGCGUAGGCGGCUUUCUAAGUUAGGCGUGAAAUCCCCGGGCUCAACCUGGGAACUGCGCUUAAGACUGGAGAGCUAGAAAACGGAAGAGGGUAGUGGAAUUCCCAGUGUAGAGGUGAAAUUCGUAGAUAUUGGGAAGAACACCAGUGGCGAAAGCGGCUACCUGGUCCGGAUUUGACGCUGAGGCGCGAAAGCGUGGGGAGCAAACAGG
RNAcentral lists this ribosomal RNA (252 nucleotides) under uncultured bacterium. RNAcentral's name for it is "partial 16S ribosomal RNA". It matches the Rfam family "Bacterial small subunit ribosomal RNA", at positions 525 to 776 of the family's 1533-position model. The record is from RNAcentral.